UGCCUUGUAGUUUAAUAGAACAGGAAAUUGCAAGUUUUCAGGUGAAUAUCUUCCAAGGCUU
RNAcentral lists this transfer RNA (61 nucleotides) under Platypodinae sp. BMNH 1274715. RNAcentral describes it as "tRNA-Cys". Lineage: Eukaryota; Metazoa; Arthropoda; Insecta; Coleoptera; Curculionidae. The record is from RNAcentral.